AUGAACGCUGGCGGCGUGCCUAAUACAUGCAAGUCGAGCGAACAGACGAGGAGCUUGCUCCUUUGACGUUAGCGACGGACGGGUGAGUAACACGUAGGUAACCUACCUAUAAGACUGGGAUAACUUCGGGAAACCGGAGCUAAUACCGGAUAAUAUUUCGAACCGCAUGGUUCGAUAGUGAAAGAUGGCUUUGCUAUCACUUAUAGAUGGACCUGCGCCGUAUUAGCUAGUUGGUAAGGUAACGGCUUACCAAGGCAACGAUACGUAGCCGACCUGAGAGGGUGAUCGGCCACACUGGAACUGAGACACGGUCCAGACUCCUACGGGAGGCAGCAGUAGGGAAUCUUCCGCAAUGGGCGAAAGCCUGACGGAGCAACGCCGCGUGAGUGAUGAAGGUCUUCGGAUCGUAAAACUCUGUUAUUAGGGAAGAACAAACGUGUAAGUAACUGUGCACGUCUUGACGGUACCUAAUCAGAAAGCCACGGCUAACUACGUG
RNAcentral lists this ribosomal RNA (496 nucleotides) under uncultured bacterium. RNAcentral describes it as "partial 16S ribosomal RNA". It matches the Rfam family "Bacterial small subunit ribosomal RNA", at positions 29 to 507 of the family's 1533-position model. The record is from RNAcentral.